RNAcentral lists this long non-coding RNA (1829 nucleotides) under Mus spicilegus (steppe mouse). RNAcentral's name for it is "lncRNA (ENSMSIG00000026728.1)". Lineage: Eukaryota; Metazoa; Chordata; Mammalia; Rodentia; Muridae. The record is from RNAcentral.
AUGUGGAUUGAGGAGCAGAGAAGAUCCUUCUGUUCCUUCCUUCCUUCCUUCCUUCCUCCCCUUCUCCCCUCCCGAAUGCCAUGCCAGGGGAACCUCUUGGCCAGCCCCUUUCUUGGCUCUCAUUGGAUCCUACUGGCUCCUCUCAUGAAUCCCUCCCCACGGUGUGUCCUUCCUUUUCUACCUUGCAGUUUGUCCUUAGUGGCGUUUCCUGUCUCUCUCUCUGAUUUUGCUCCUGAAACUUCUCCAGGAGGCAGGCCUUUCCCUCUGUUGGGACAUGGAAAUCAGAUGGGUGUGUUUUACUAAGCAUCCUCUUUCAGCUACUUCUCAAGGAGGCGCUUCCAUGAGGAACAGGGAGGAGGGAGCGAAACUCUGUGAUCCUGCCAGAGCCACUGACUAACUGACUAACGAUGCCACCGAUGCCACCGAGACUGCCCCAAGCCUCUAGCCCUCUGUCCCCAAUUGAGGUUCCCACCGCUGUGUUCCCCACCAAGACCUGCCAGCCAGGUAAACAUGCAGUCUGCAACUCCAGUUACUCUAUAACGACAUGAUUUGCUUGUCUGGACAAAGAGCCUGCUGUCCCAGAGCUGGGUCUACCUGGAGACAGGAAGUGGCCCCAGACCAGUCAGUCAUCCCUCCAGGGAGGUGAGGCCUCUCGUCUGGGAGCUCAGUGAUGGUGUUUGUGGGCUGUUGGGAAUGUGUGGCUAGAGUAAAUUCUGAGCCGCCACUUUGGCUCUGCUCACAUCGUGCUGUGCAUGGUCAAAUACCCCAGCUGCUCACAGCAGAUGUGCAAGACAGCUAGGAGCCUGAGGAGGAUAGGGACUGGAGAGAUGGGUACAGAGGGCCAGCUGGUUCCCAGGACUCCCAAACUGCUACUGGAUAGCUGGAAAUUCCUCUUGAUUAACAUUUGGGAUGUGAUUUUUUUUUUAAAGCAAUGUGUUCAUUUAAGUAAAAUUUCACUCUAACAAAACGACGGAAGGAUUAUAUUCGUUGUUUUUAGUGAUACUUAGUUUUUGUAAUUUAACUAUUUGCAUUCUAACCCCACGAUCAAAAUUAGCCUGACUGUGCAGUUUGUGAAUUUUACCCUAACUCAGAAAACAGUAUUCAUUCCCUAGGAUGCCCUGGGCAGAAGGGAGUGCUGUUUCUCUGGGGGAAAGCAGAGGUCCAUCUGCCUCUGCCUCCCAAACACUGGGAUUAAAUGUGUGUGUACCACCAUGCCCAGCUGGCCAAAACCAUUCAUUUUGUAGUACUGGGAUUGAGACAGGAUCUUACUACAUAGUCCUGGCUAGCUUGGAGCUCACUGUGUAGACCAGGCUGGUCUUGGCUUUGUAAUGAUCUUCCUGCUUCAGCUUCCUGACUGUAAGGAUUACAGACAUAAACUAUGUCCAGCUAGUAGGGACAUUCUGUACCUCCUGGUUUUAAUGCAUGUUCCUGUCCACGGUGUUCUUUUUUCUUAAAAUGCCUCCCCCCACCUUGUACUGGCUAGUUUUGUGUCAACUUAACACAACUGGAGUUAUCACAGAGAAAGGAGCUUCAGUUGGGGAAAUGCCUCCAUGAGAUCCAACUGUAAGGCAUUUUCUCAAUUAGUGAUCAAGGGGGAAAGGCCCCUUGUGGGUGAUGCCAUCUCUGGGCUGGCAGUCUUGGGUUCUAUAAGAGAGCAGGCUGAGUAAGCCAGGGGAAGCAAGCCAGUAAAGAACAUCCCUCCAUGGCCUCUGCAUCAGCUCCUGCUUUCUGACGUGCUUGAGUUUCAGUCCUGACUUCCUUAGUGAUGAACAGCAGUAUGGAAGUGUAAGCCGAAUAAACCCUUUUCUCCCCAACUUGCUUCUUGGUCA